RNAcentral lists this microRNA (23 nucleotides) under Lingula anatina. Its description in RNAcentral is "Lan-Mir-22-P1_5p* (star (passenger))". Lineage: Eukaryota; Metazoa; Brachiopoda; Lingulata; Lingulida; Lingulidae. The record is from RNAcentral.
CGGCUCCUCAUAAGGCAGUCUUU